This 5956-nucleotide long non-coding RNA is filed under the name Solanum lycopersicum (tomato). RNAcentral's name for it is "long non-coding RNA (SLYC_LNC001159)". The stretch from base 5665 to 5825 matches the Rfam family "U1 spliceosomal RNA". Lineage: Eukaryota; Viridiplantae; Streptophyta; Magnoliopsida; Solanales; Solanaceae. The record is from RNAcentral.
AUUAAACUACUAAAUAAAGAGGCUCGUUAAUUAGUCGAUAUAAAUUCAUCAUUUUAAUGGGUUGUUUGUUAAAUUGACUCAAUUUCCUUACCCAUUUUAAUUAACUCAAUCUCCAAUCCUUUUAUUUUAUUUCCUAGGCCCAAAUAUUUUUUUUAACAAUCCACUCCAACUUCAGCCCAUCCUUCCUCAACCCCAAAUCAAUUUUCCAACCCAAUUCGUAGGCCCAAUCUUCUUUAUUUCCAUCACCCUUCGACCAAAUUGCUUCAGAAACCCAAUUCCUCCGACCCAGCGGCCCAAAUCCCUUUCGUCAGCCCAACGUUUCCCUCCGCCCCAAGCCCACUUCUUUCCCAUAACCCAUCCAACGACCCGACCCAACCCCUGUCUUCUUCCCCUUCCCCUCUCACGCCCCAAACGACGAAGCAAAUCCCCCAGAACAGAAAUCCCAGAAAAAAAAGACGCGACAGAAAACCAAAAACGGAACCCCCCCCCCCCCAGACGCGACCCCUUUCCCGCGUCCCCCCACGCACAGCCUCCCCUCUCUUACCCCUCUCGAUGCGUCUCCUCACGCUCUCUCCUCUCUCUUCUCCUCUCCCUAUCGCGACGCGCCACUCCUCCAGGGAUGUACCUGAUAGCAGCUGUCUCUUGUUGUUUCUCUCGCCACGUUUCUCUCACUCGUACGACUUCGCAGUGCUAGGAGACGCGGGUCGUCCUUGUUCGUCCUUGGUAGCACGAGAUUGAGCCACGUCGUGUACCAAGGACGGAAGGCUCAUCUCGACCCUCCACCUCGCCUCAGAGCCGUUCAAAGAUCCAGGAAUCGAGGAAUAUUCGUUUCUGUUGGAUAAGAUUGGGAUUUCGAAUUCGAAAUGGGGGAUCCCGCCCGAAAAUUCGAAACCCUAAUUUUCCCCUUACUAUAAAAACCCCGUCCGAGACAGAGAAAAGGGUUGGCGAUUUUUAUUGGAAAUUCUGGGUUGAACAUUCUUUCGCCUCCUCUGUUUAUUUAACGAAAAUUUCUCUUUGGCUUUUCUGGCUCUGUUUUGAGAAGAGUUCAAAUUUUAGAGAGGACGAAAAGAAAAGAGAGAUAGAGAUAUAAGAGAAGAGUGAGUGAAGCCACCGAAAGGGUCACUAACGGUCUCGUGUUUGUGAGUCUUGGAGUCGAAGUUCGUCUCCCUCCUCGUCCUUUUUUAAAGGGAGGCACUGUCAGCUGAAGAUAUUCAAAUAGAGCUCCCAUUUCAGUUUCGAUUAAGGUGUCGCAGUCCGUUCCGACGAUACCAAGUUCGCGUCGUGAUAGUUGCCGUUGAAGUCGCUGCUCGUCGGUUCCAGUUGCUGCCUUCAAAAAGGUAACCCAUUUUGCUUUGAACGAUUGCUCGUUUUCCUUUGUUUAGAAAUGGUUUCUGCUGGUGCUCUAGCGAUCUGUAUGGUGCUGCUCAUUGCGAAUCUUUGGUUGUUUGUGCAUUUCGUAUGUUCAAAGUGUACUCUUCAACUGUUUUGUUUACCUCAUGCUGGGUCUGCUCAUAUGUGUCGUCUCAUUUGUGUCAUUCUAUCAGUCGCGAUUGGGUUCGUAGGUAGUAUCUCUUUUCGUCUACGUCUUCUUCGCUGCUUCCUUUGUUGUUCUGUCCUUGGUGCCAUUGUUCGUUGAUGUCGGAAAAGAUUCGUUAUAUAGUCGUUUAGGCCAAUCUUUCUUGGGUUUGCUUUGUUGUUUGCUAGUAUACAUGUUCUUGAUGGUUCUAUUUGUUUAGUCCUAAUUUUAAGUUAACAUGGGUACAGUUUUGAUUAAUGUCGUGACUCUCUGUUUUCGUCGAAACUUUAGGUUCGUUGCAGUCUUCUUCUGCCGUAAAUGUGAGUUUUAUCAUGGGUUGUGUAUUUGAGUUUCUCUAAGUUAGGGGGGCUCAUUCUGUGGAAGCAUAUAGAGUUUAUUUUGUUAUCAUUGUUAAAUUCAUCAAUCUAAUUUGUUAAGUGACCUUACAUGACAUAUUUCACUGUGUUAUCAAUGUUUUAAGUGUCUUGUUAUUUGGUAUGAAUUGAUAUAUUUUUUUAGCUAGAUUUGCUUAUUCGAUGAUAGAACAUUGUCGUUGGGAGAUGUAUUUUGUCUAAGAUGAGAUCAAGUGUUCCUUCUAUCUUGUAUUUCACUUAAAUAGACUUUGUUCUAAUGUUCCUUCUUCCCAUUUGUUGCAUGUAAAAUUUCCUCCCCGGUCCACUUUGGAACCCCACUUUCCCUCGCAUUUCGGAGGAGCCAUGAAGGCUCAAAAGCUCUUCCCAUCGAGUCAGCCUAUCGAGACAGAAGUGCAGAUUCGAAAAUCCACGGAGAUUGAAGAAAAUCCAAGAACUGACUAGAAGAUUUCCUUAGUUUCUUUUAUAUAUUUUGCGUUUUUAUUUAUUCUGUAAUGGGCAUAAGCCCUCGUCGUUUCCAUUCCUUUGUAGUUUAUUUUGUAUGUUUAGAUUAGGACAGGUACAAAAUGGGUCAAAAACCCAAAAGUAGGUGGGUUCGAGUUUCGGCCAAGGCGAACAGCAUUCGAAACUUGGACCCGAAUCUCUCUCUCUCUCUAUUAUUUGCUUACGCUUUUUUUUACUUGAAUAUCGUUGGCCUAGGAUUAGAAAACUCCAGCCCCAUCGAACGUCUUUUAUUUUAUCAAACUCAAAUUAAAAAUUUGAAACUUUAAAAGAUAGAUGUUUAAGUUUGAAAAUCGCUUAGAGUUAAAGUUUUAACUUCAAUGAAAUAUUCUAAAAAAAUUGGAGAAUUUGCAUAACAGUUUCUAAUAAAGUUUCUAUAAACAAAAGAUUAGCAAAAGUUAAAACAAAAUAGUCAAAUAUUGUUAAUCGUCGGAAAAUCGUGUUUUAACGGAGUGUCUUAGGUGCCUUACACCUUCCUAAGACACUAAUAAGAAUCCCGAACCCCCUAAAAUAUUUUCAAAAUAAUUUUUUCUGUUUAAGUUGUUUUGGAAAUAAGUUUUCUUGAUUUUUCUUAAAAAAUUAAGUGGCGACUCCUAAAAGUCGAAAAUACUUUAAAAAUAAAAUAAACUCUUUUCGAAAUAAUAAUUUUUUGAUAAAACAAAUUCUAUAUAAAACAAUCAAUUAUUAGUUGUUUUAACUGUAUUUCAAUAGAUCUGGUAAUAGUGAAUUUGAACAAAUUAAAUUUAAAAAUGAAAUUGUAUCAAUAUCCAUUGAUAGUAAUGUGUUGUAUUUUGGCUGAAGUUAUAUAAAUCAAUCAUUUACUAGUUGUUCUAAUUGAAUAAGUUGUUUUGAUUGUAUUUAAAUUGAACGUGUAAUGGGAAAUUGUAUAUGAACGUAUUUGAAACUCCAAUUGUAUAAAUUCUCCAUUGAUAAUUGGAGCUUUGGUCAAAUGUAUGUUUUCCAUAUAUUUUGUGGAAUUAUUGUCCGUAUAAAAUAAUAUAUGUAGUAUUAAUAUACGUAAUUGUAUAAAUAGAGACUUGAUAUAUGCAUUUGUAUAUUUGAUCUAUAAUCAUGUGUAGUUGCAUCUAUUUCAGUCUGUAGCUGCUUCAAUUGAUAAUUAUUGUAUAACUUAGUUGGAAUUAAUUGAUUUCAAUUUGAAAAAUUAAAUAAAUUAGCGACCUUCUUAGUAAUACUCUUACGCAUAGUUACAAUUCUUAUAUGUAUACAUCAUUAAAUUAUAUUUGUAUAAUUCUGAUAUGUACACAUACUUACGUUGUAUUUGAUGUAUACAUAGUUAAGUUGUAUUUGUGUAGUUCUAUUAUAUAUACAUCAUUACUUUGUAUCUUGUACAGUUAUGAAAUGUAUAUACUUCUGGUAUGUAUACGCCACUAAAUUGUAACUUAUAUAGUUUUAACCAAACUAAGUCAUUAUAUAAAAUAAUUUACCAAAGUAAUACAUUUUUCUAAAAUUUUACAAAAUUAGUAUAAACGUAUUUCACGGUAACGUUUUAGGGUAUAUUUUAUUUUUAAAAAACUAACAGCAUUAGGUUGAUAUACGUUAUUGUAAAUAACAUUUUACUUUUAAAACGUUAUUUUCAGUAAUGUUUUACUCCUAAAACGUUACUAUGAGUAACGUUUUACUUUUAAAACGUUAUUAUGAGUAACGUAUAUCAAUCUGACGCUAUCAACUUUUAAAAAAUAAAAUAUAUCCUAAAACGUUACUGUGGAAUACGUUUAUACUAGUUUUGCAAAAUUUUAGAAAAACAUAUUAUUUUGGUGAAUUGCUUUAUAUAAUGGCUUAAUUUGGUUAAAACCCCCUUAUAUAUUAUGUAUACAGUCAUGUAUGUAUACACCAUUAAAUUGUAUUCUAAAUAUAUACACUUUCGAUAUAUAUAUUUAACAUUAUAUAUACAGUCAAGUAGUACUACUUGGCGAAAAGCUUUGAUCUUUCCCUUGCCUAACUAGGGCUUUUGUUAUUUUAAUUGGUUUGCAGUUGCCUUUUCUUUCCUAGGCUAUUGGCACUUGUAUUAGAAUUCAUUUUCACUGAACACUUUGUUCGAUCUGAGUUUCUUUUGUGACAAUGGCCUUACAGCAUCCCAUUUUAAUCCCAAAUCUCUUAUUGCUCAAGUAACUAUCAAACUUUUGUUUCAUGGAGAGACCGUGAUGGUCAGAGGUUUUGGCAAGUUGUUUGGUUGAAAUUUUAAUCCCUUAAAAAACAGCUAAAAUUGAAAUUCUUCUAUAGAAAGUUUGUACGUUAAAAUUCUAAUUCUUGAAGAUUGUUAUUACAGGAUGUUGUGAAUGAUAGGAUCACUCAUUGCCGGGAAAGCAGAUGAGUGUUCAUUUUUUGCUGGAACUGGAAAAUGUCAGCAAGGCUUUGUUAGUUGACUUAUUCGGGUCUUAAUGCUGAUUUACUGCCUCUUGGCAGUAGGUUCAGUUAUCUCCCCCAAACUCAAGUUACCACGAGGACAUUGAUAUUUGAGUUGUAAGUACCUGACUUGGAACUGGAGGAUGCUUAGUUACACCCCGCUGCUGAUGGAGAGUUGCGAGUACCUGACUGCAGUUCUGAUUAUCCUCGUCUGUUGUUGAUUGUAAAUCAUCAUUUGUGUCUUGCUCAACUCGUGGUGCCCAACAGGUGCUGGUGGGGUUAAUCUCUAUUCCUCAAAAUAACUUGAGAGUAUUUGUCUUCCAUAAAUCAACGAAGAUUUAUUCACAUGGGUUGAAAUUGUUGGGUAUUGUAUUUAGCUUUUCUCGUCAACAAGAAAAAGAUGAAAUUCUUCAAAUCCUUGAUUUAUGAUGACCCUGCUCGCUUCUAUACACAGUUAUGUGCAGAAGUUGAAAUUUUCAUCUUUGGUCACCAAUUCGAGCAUGUGCUUUGCCCCGAGUUCAUCCUGCUGCUUUUUCAUAAUAACAUAGGAUUUAAAUAAAAGAAGAAACGAAUUAUAAAGUUGGACGAAGUGAUUCUUUCUUCUGAUACAAUAAUCAGUACUUGGCUCACUACUCAAAGAAAAGGUAGAACAAAUGGAAAAUGGAGAUCUUGUUCUAUUGAAAAGUUCUGCAAAAAUCUCAAACAUUUUGUCAAAUUUCAAUAAGUUAUAUACUCGUAUUUUAUAAGCUACUGUUGAAUUUGUGGUUUAUAAAUAAAGAGAUUACAAAAGGAAAAGAAAAGAAAGAUGUUCGGGUGAACAAGUGUAUGUGAGAUUUAUCCCACAUCGUCAGAAACAAGGGCAGGCAAGGUAAUGGAGUGAUAUAAAAAUAAAGGAGGGUACGACCUUGAAACAUACUUACCUGGACGGGGUCAAUGGGCGAUCAUGAACACCCAUGGCCUAGGUUGGUGACCAUCAUUGCACUUUGAAGGGGUGCCCGCCUAAGGUCGGCCCAAGUGGUCGAGCCUACGUCAUAAUUUGUUGCUGAGGGGGCCUGCGUUCGCGCGGCCCCUGCCAAUUCUAGUACAAGUGCUUCAAUCUCGAGUUAGUUUUUUACUUCCAUUUAAUAGAGCAUGGGUAAUUUUAAUUUAGGAAUGUGUGUAUUUUCAUAACAAAUACUAACACUAAUGUAAGACUGAAUUUAUA